Long non-coding RNA from Myotis davidii, 109 nucleotides. RefSeq lists it as uncharacterized. The transcript has 3 exons. The record is from RefSeq and is a predicted model, not a curated record. NCBI's taxonomy places the organism in Eukaryota, Metazoa, Chordata, Mammalia, Chiroptera, Vespertilionidae.
UACAGGGGAAGGCGCCCCAACCCCCUGAUCAUCCCUGCUCUGUGCCUGAAAGGGGGGAGCUCCCCAACCCCCUGAUCGCUUGUGGCUCUGUGUGUGACAGGGGGCAGGG